RNAcentral lists this ribosomal RNA (2923 nucleotides) under Klebsiella pneumoniae. RNAcentral describes it as "23S ribosomal RNA". It matches the Rfam family "Bacterial large subunit ribosomal RNA". Lineage: Bacteria; Pseudomonadati; Pseudomonadota; Gammaproteobacteria; Enterobacterales; Enterobacteriaceae. The record is from RNAcentral.
GGGUUGUGAGGUUAAGCGACUAAGCGUACACGGUGGAUGCCCUGGCAGUCAGAGGCGAUGAAGGACGUGCUAAUCUGCGAAAAGCGUCGGUAAGGUGAUAUGAACCGUUACAGCCGGCGAUGUCCGAAUGGGGAAACCCAGUGCAAUUCGUUGCACUAUCGUUAACUGAAUACAUAGGUUAACGAGGCGAACCGGGGGAACUGAAACAUCUAAGUACCCCGAGGAAAAGAAAUCAACCGAGAUUCCCCCAGUAGCGGCGAGCGAACGGGGAGCAGCCCAGAGUCUGAAUCAGCUUGUGUGUUAGUGGAACGGUCUGGAAAGUCCGACGGUACAGGGUGAUAGUCCCGUACACCAAAAUGCACAGGCUGUGAACUCGAAGAGUAGGGCGGGACACGUGGUAUCCUGUCUGAAUAUGGGGGGACCAUCCUCCAAGGCUAAAUACUCCUGACUGACCGAUAGUGAACCAGUACCGUGAGGGAAAGGCGAAAAGAACCCCGGCGAGGGGAGUGAAAAAGAACCUGAAACCGUGUACGUACAAGCAGUGGGAGCACCUUCGGGUGUGACUGCGUACCUUUUGUAUAAUGGGUCAGCGACUUAUAUUCUGUAGCAAGGUUAACCGUAUAGGGGAGCCGCAGGGAAACCGAGUCUUAACUGGGCGUUAAGUUGCAGGGUAUAGACCCGAAACCCGGUGAUCUAGCCAUGGGCAGGUUGAAGGUUGGGUAACACUAACUGGAGGACCGAACCGACUAAUGUUGAAAAAUUAGCGGAUGACUUGUGGCUGGGGGUGAAAGGCCAAUCAAACCGGGAGAUAGCUGGUUCUCCCCGAAAGCUAUUUAGGUAGCGCCUCGUGAAUUCAUCUUCGGGGGUAGAGCACUGUUUCGGCUAGGGGGUCAUCCCGACUUACCAACCCGAUGCAAACUACGAAUACCGAAGAAUGUUAUCACGGGAGACACACGGCGGGUGCUAACGUCCGUCGUGAAGAGGGAAACAACCCAGACCGCCAGCUAAGGUCCCAAAGUCAUGGUUAAGUGGGAAACGAUGUGGGAAGGCACAGACAGCCAGGAUGUUGGCUUAGAAGCAGCCAUCAUUUAAAGAAAGCGUAAUAGCUCACUGGUCGAGUCGGCCUGCGCGGAAGAUGUAACGGGGCUAAACCAUGCACCGAAGCUGCGGCAGCGACACUAUGUGUUGUUGGGUAGGGGAGCGUUCUGUAAGCCUGCGAAGGUGUGCUGUGAGGCAUGCUGGAGGUAUCAGAAGUGCGAAUGCUGACAUAAGUAACGAUAAAGCGGGUGAAAAGCCCGCUCGCCGGAAGACCAAGGGUUCCUGUCCAACGUUAAUCGGGGCAGGGUGAGUCGACCCCUAAGGCGAGGCCGAAAGGCGUAGUCGAUGGGAAACAGGUUAAUAUUCCUGUACUUGGUGUUACUGCGAAGGGGGGACGGAGAAGGCUAUGUUAGCCGGGCGACGGUUGUCCCGGUUUAAGCAUGUAGGCUGGUUAUCCAGGCAAAUCCGGAUAAUCAAGGCUGAGGUGUGAUGACGAGGCACUACGGUGCUGAAGUAACAAAUGCCCUGCUUCCAGGAAAAGCCUCUAAGCAUCAGGUAACAUCAAAUCGUACCCCAAACCGACACAGGUGGUCAGGUAGAGAAUACCAAGGCGCUUGAGAGAACUCGGGUGAAGGAACUAGGCAAAAUGGUGCCGUAACUUCGGGAGAAGGCACGCUGGUGUGUAGGUGAAGCCCCUGCGGGUGGAGCUGAGACCAGUCGAAGAUACCAGCUGGCUGCAACUGUUUAUUAAAAACACAGCACUGUGCAAACACGAAAGUGGACGUAUACGGUGUGACGCCUGCCCGGUGCCGGAAGGUUAAUUGAUGGGGUUAUCCGUAAGGAGAAGCUCUUGAUCGAAGCCCCGGUAAACGGCGGCCGUAACUAUAACGGUCCUAAGGUAGCGAAAUUCCUUGUCGGGUAAGUUCCGACCUGCACGAAUGGCGUAAUGAUGGCCAGGCUGUCUCCACCCGAGACUCAGUGAAAUUGAACUCGCUGUGAAGAUGCAGUGUACCCGCGGCAAGACGGAAAGACCCCGUGAACCUUUACUAUAGCUUGACACUGAACAUUGAGCCUUGAUGUGUAGGAUAGGUGGGAGGCUUUGAAGCGUGGACGCCAGUCUGCGUGGAGCCAACCUUGAAAUACCACCCUUUAAUGUUUGAUGUUCUAACGUUGGCCCCUGACCGGGGUUGCGGACAGUGUCUGGUGGGUAGUUUGACUGGGGCGGUCUCCUCCUAAAGCGUAACGGAGGAGCACGAAGGUUAGCUAAUCCUGGUCGGACAUCAGGAGGUUAGUGCAAUGGCAUAAGCUAGCUUGACUGCGAGCGUGACGGCGCGAGCAGGUGCGAAAGCAGGUCAUAGUGAUCCGGUGGUUCUGAAUGGAAGGGCCAUCGCUCAACGGAUAAAAGGUACUCCGGGGAUAACAGGCUGAUACCGCCCAAGAGUUCAUAUCGACGGCGGUGUUUGGCACCUCGAUGUCGGCUCAUCACAUCCUGGGGCUGAAGUAGGUCCCAAGGGUAUGGCUGUUCGCCAUUUAAAGUGGUACGCGAGCUGGGUUUAGAACGUCGUGAGACAGUUCGGUCCCUAUCUGCCGUGGGCGCUGGAGAAUUGAGGGGGGCUGCUCCUAGUACGAGAGGACCGGAGUGGACGCAUCACUGGUGUUCGGGUUGUCAUGCCAAUGGCACUGCCCGGUAGCUAAAUGCGGAAGAGAUAAGUGCUGAAAGCAUCUAAGCACGAAACUUGCCCCGAGAUGAGUUCUCCCUGAGACUUUAAGUCUCCUGAAGGAACGUUAAAGACGAUGACGUUGAUAGGCCGGGUGUGUAAGCGCAGCGAUGCGUUGAGCUAACCGGUACUAAUGAACCGUGAGGCUUAACCUUACAACGCCGAAG